GUUUCCUCCUGGUAGCAUCUUCCUUUCCGCCUGAGGAUUUCCCAGGCAUCCUGCCUCCAAGAAAGUCAGAAGUCAGUGCCUUCCUGAGAGCCGGUGAGAGCUCCGUCUCCCUUGGGCAAGUGGUGCUGAUGCCUGUUCCCUGCAUCCAUCUCUCAGAAGCCACAGCAGAACUGAGCUCCAGGGGCCACUGCGAGAAGCAUUUAUGGAGCUCGUGGAGUGAGGCAUCUCUUUAAUCCCUUCAGUAAGUCAGUGUGGGCCAAGGAGUCUGAGGAUCAGAGACCUUGUGACUUUUUAAGUGAAGAUUUACUAUGUGCUGGGGCCCAUUGUGUUUUAUUUUAUUGACUCGUCCCAAGCUCUAAG
Molecule: long non-coding RNA, 360 nt
Filed under: Homo sapiens (human)
Lineage: Eukaryota; Metazoa; Chordata; Mammalia; Primates; Hominidae
Description: non-protein coding lnc-FOXA2-3:5
Source: RNAcentral